AUGGACGCGCCGAGCGGCACGGCCAAGCGCAAGCGCUCGUCCGCCGAAGCCCCGGCCCCCGUCGGCGUCGAUGACGUGUCCGACACCGAGGUCGAGGAGUUCUACGCCAUCCUCCGCCGCAUGCGGGACGCCUCCCGCCGGCUCGUCUCGGGCGGGGUCGCCGCCGCCAGGGCCCGCGCCCCGGCCCCGCGCACGCCGGCCUGGUGCCCCAGCUUCUCCUGGGAGGACUUCGCGCCGCCCGCCCCACCACCGCCGCCUCCAUCGCAGCAGCCCGCCGACGAGCGCGUCGCCGAGAACGCCUCGCCGCCGCGGCGACCCGUCCCCCGCGGCCUCGACCUCAACGCCGAGCCGGAGCCAGAGGUCACCCCCUCGUAG
Molecule: ribosomal RNA, 375 nt
Filed under: Triticum aestivum (bread wheat)
Lineage: Eukaryota; Viridiplantae; Streptophyta; Magnoliopsida; Poales; Poaceae
Description: partial small subunit ribosomal RNA
Source: RNAcentral